CAUUGGAUCAUAUUUGAAUUAAAAUUGGAUCGGAUUUUUAUCGGAUAAGGAUACGAUAUAGAUUGGAUUCGGUUUGAAUUUUGAUGAGUUUGGAUUUAAAGGAUUGAUUUUGGAUUGUGUUUGGCUUAAAUUUGAAUAAGAUUUAUUUGUGAUUGGAUUUGGAUUGGAGUCAGAUUAAUUUUAAAAUUGGAUUGGAUUUUCAUUCGAUUAGGAUUAGAGUUAAUGCUGGUUGGGUAACAGCUUUAUUUUUUUUAAUUAAAGCUUCAAUUAGGAUUAUACUUCCAAACAAAUACGUGUUCGGUUUGAUAAGGAAAUUAAGAAGAAACAAUGAACAUCUUCUGGCUGAGUAUGCUUAAGAAAAAGAAAAGUCAAACAGUAUCAAACUGGCCACACUAUGGAGUCAUUUACUUUUUUUGGUACAGUUGAUUUUUAAGAUGAAACGCAAAAGUACACUAAAAGUUGUCUUACAAGAAGAUUUUUUACUUAAUUAUUGAGUUAUUAUAAGUAAAUCGAUUAUUCUUUCAAUCUCAAAUCACUCGGUAUUAUCUCUCUUCCUCACGAUGUUGAAUAGGGCAAUCUGCAUCUACCAAAUGGGGAUAGUUCGGCUCAAUAUGAUAAAUUUGAGUUAAUGCGUUUUCUCAGGCUUGAGUAGAAAAAAAUCAAUGUUGCGUCAAUUCAACUUACUAGAUAAUGUCAACUUUUUAAAUUCAGCCAUUUUUUAAAUAUGCAUUGAAAUGACUCAGGCUUGAACUGAUGCUUGUUUUUAUGUAAGUUUCAAUGGAUCAUCACGUAAAUUAAAAACAGACCAAAAAAAAAAUAUAUACUUUGUCGAACAGAAAAAUAUAUAUAUAUCAGAGAGAGUAGAGGAGGGGAAUAUUGUAGUAGAUAUAGAUUUCAUUAGAAAUAUGAGGUAAAAGUAUGAGACAUGACUUAAAAAUGUUUAGCGUGUACGUCGCCUAUUUGAAACCUGCUAUAAAAUAUGAAAAUAAAAAUGAUGCCGCGCGAAAUAAUUAUGGCAGUCUUCCUCUGCAGCGCCGGAUGUUUCAAAUGAGAUUUCGGGAUAUGAUUGGGCUCGGGACCCGAAAUUUGGGUGGAGACGAAUGCUUCGGCUGAAAGACAGACACGAAGUGAGCAGGGCGUUCGGCUUUUGAUCGCAUAGGAACGCAUUGCAAGCGGCCAUCGAGAGUGUGAAAAGGAAGGAGAGCGUGUGCCUACUCCGCGUCCUGAGGACAGCGGCUUACGAAGCUAAACACGAGUGCGUGGAUCGGUACCGAAGCGUUGCCGUCUAGGGUUCAUUGCCACUGCCGUGAUAUGAUUAAAUCAGUCUAUUGGAGAAUUUUAGAGCGAUUAGUCGCACUUUUAAGGAGUGAAGAAAAUUUGGCCAGCUUAAUUCGGCUGAUACUGUCCAAACCAGGUUGCGUCACGACACUAGGGUCUCAAACUUUGAUCUAUGUGCAACAUUUAAAAACUAUUAGAUUCCAAUAAAAUGUACUGCCAUUUCAUAUAGUAUCCACAUGCUCUGCAGUGUAAUGCCAAUGUCACACAUUUAGGAUUUGAAUGCGUACAAUUAUAUUUCAACACGUGGGACGAACGUGGUUCAAUGCGGUACAACGAACAGAAAAAAAACUGUUGGGAAAAUUCACUGAUCGGUUUUCAGUUUCCAAAGGUCUUGUAGUUAAAAUGUAAUUUAAUGAAAUUUGAUUAUACAUCAGUUUCUAAACAGGAAGAGGGGCGAUACAUCGCCUAAAAUGACAGUGAUUACAGGCGCAUGGAUAUUCAUUAAACUCGGCCAUCGGGAGGUUUCGAAAAACGAACGCAACAACCACAUCUGGGCCCCACACGGAUACAAGCAAUAUGUUUGGCCAAUCAGCAGGUGGAUAAAUGAAAAUAACAAACCUGAUUGCUGAAGAUGACUCCACAAAAACAGAUUCCACUGAUCGUUGAUUAAGCACCAAAAAUAUUGGUCAGAUUUGAAGUCAAUCAAAUAUUUAAACACACUUCAGUCUACAAUAUAUAAAAAGUUUCAAA
Molecule: long non-coding RNA, 2028 nt
Organism: Aedes aegypti (yellow fever mosquito)
Lineage: Eukaryota; Metazoa; Arthropoda; Insecta; Diptera; Culicidae
Exons: 2
Source: RefSeq, a predicted model, not a curated record